This 515-nucleotide ribosomal RNA is filed under the name uncultured bacterium. RNAcentral's name for it is "partial 16S ribosomal RNA". It matches the Rfam family "Bacterial small subunit ribosomal RNA", at positions 28 to 523 of the family's 1533-position model. The record is from RNAcentral.
GAUGAACGCUGGCGGCGUGCCUAAUACAUGCAAGUCGAGCGAAUGGAUUAAGAGCUUGCUCUUAUGAAGUUAGCGGCGGACGGGUGAGUAACACGUGGGUAACCUGCCCAUAAGACUGGGAUAACUCCGGGAAACCGGGGCUAAUACCGGAUAAUAUUUUGAACUGCAUGGUUCAAAAUUGAAAGGCGGCUUCGGCUGUCACUUAUGGCUGGACCCGCGUCGCAUUAGCUAGUUGGUGAGGUAACGGCUCACCAAGGCAACGAUGCGUAGCCGCCCUGGAAGGGUGAUCGGCCACACUGGGACUGAGGCACGGCCCAGACUCCUACGGGAGGCAGCAGUAGGGAAUCUUCCGCAAUGGACGAAAGUCUGACGGAGCAACGCCGCGUGAGUGAUGAAGGCUUUCGGGUCGUAAAACUCUGUUGUUAGGGAAGAACAAGUGCUAGUUGAAUAAGCUGGCACCUUGACGGUACCUAACCAGAAAGCCACGGCUAACUACGUGCCAGCCGCCGCAGUAA